RNAcentral lists this long non-coding RNA (1062 nucleotides) under Heterocephalus glaber (naked mole-rat). RNAcentral describes it as "lncRNA (ENSHGLG00000031923.1)". Lineage: Eukaryota; Metazoa; Chordata; Mammalia; Rodentia; Bathyergidae. The record is from RNAcentral.
CUGAGCUCAGAGGCUAGAUGGGUUUGUUUGGAUUCCAGAAAGCGGUUGAUAAGAGAUUGGAAAGUUGUUUUGGUGUGGGAAAGAGCAGUCAGAGUCUUGGUGGAGGUUGGGAGCAUAAAGCUGUCCCCCAAAGCUGGUGCUGACAGCUUCUCAGGGAGCUCAGAUGUCCAAGAGCACAGCCUUGUUUAUAAGGCUAGGUGGCCUGGGUGACGCUCCCACUUCACUCUCUGGGCCUCAGUUUCCUCAUCUGUAAAAUGGGGAAUCUCCCAGGGUGCAAAGAGAUGUGCAGUCAUCUGUCCUGUGUCCAUCAGGGGACAGGGGAUCCCUGGACUGGUCAAUGAGAGAAGCAGAGGAGGACUCACCCGGUCACAGCGCUGAAGGUGAGGGUGUCCACACUGGCUUCAUAGCCUCGGCCCUCGAAGUGCAGCGUCAGCCAGAAGGGCUGGCCCCGCCGCAACACCAGCCUCUCCGGCACAGGUCGGCCGUGCGGUGGUCUCGGCCAUUGACCUCUAGCUGCAAGUCACAUCUCUCCAGGACCAGAUCUGUGGAGGUGGGGACAGCAGGAGAAGGUGAAUGGUGACGGCAUCUCUCGGUGGGCUGUGAUGCCCAGUGACAUGCCGGUACACGGGGACAUGGGAGCAGCCCUUGCCAGCAAUGGUGAGCCUCUCUGCACGGCCCUACAGACCCCUCACCCACCCAUGACACACAGGGGCUGGCUGGCCUACAGCGGCCUGAUUUUCUUAAGCACAGGGUAUGCCCACUGUAGAAGGUUCUGCUGACUCGCAGCUGCGUGAGCCUCCAGCAACUCAGUUUUUCUGUGCCUCAGUUUCCUCAUCCAUCCCCAAGGUGGGGCAUGGCUCCCCAAAGGGCAGCUGUUGUGAGUAUUAAAGGAAUCAGUGCCUGUGGCGCCCAGCACAGAGCCUGGUUCUGCAGCAACAUGAGCUUGUCCACCACUUAGGGUGGGGGGGCAGGUUUCAGUCAGGCAGUAUAUGGUGUAGAAUUACAUGGUGUUUGAAGCUGGGUCCCACUUUCAAUUUACUGGAAAUCCCCAGGACUGUGGAU